Non-coding RNA from Canis lupus familiaris (dog), 145 nucleotides. The record is from RefSeq and is marked provisional. Lineage: Eukaryota; Metazoa; Chordata; Mammalia; Carnivora; Canidae.
UUCAAACCUAGGAGGUUCCCACCACCUUAUCACGCCGCAAUGGCCGGACCCUGAGGCUGGCAGGUCCUGGCAGGUGCUGGCGGGACAGAUGUGGCCUCAGAUCAUGGCCUCUGGAAGGCUAGUGGGGUGGAGGCAGCAUCCACCG